CAAUCAAGAACCGCCGCUUGGGCAGCUCAACUUCCGGGUCAAAGGCUCACCAGCCUGCGGUGCCCGGUGUGCCCGGUGUCCGCGGCCGUCGCUGUCCCCCGCGCCCCGCACUUCCGAGACCGCAGUUCCGGGCAUGGAGUGUCGCGCGUGAGGCACCGCCGGCCCCGGGACGCCCUGCCCUGUCCGGCCCCCCGCCCAGCCUUGCAUCCCGUGGGCUGUUCCUUCUGCCACUCACCCCAUCUCCCUCUGGAGCACCGGCCUGCUUUCGAAGAGCUGGGACUGGUGCCCAGGAGGUGUGGACCGCAGUCACCAGUUCCCAGCUGGGUCCUGGGGAAACCGGGCACUGAGGGACGCUUCUCUCCCAAGUGCAACCCUGGGCGCGCUGGCAGCCCCACGGGGCUGGGAGGCUCAGCUAGAGUCUAGCCAGGUAGACAGGGUUAGGCCCCACAGGCGGGGAUUCAAUCCCCGAUGGAAAGUCCGUGCCCCUCGCCUACAGUUACCAUGGAAACUCCUUGGCCCCUUUAGAAGGUCAGUCCCACUGGGCCAAGGUCUGGGUGGCUCAGGGUGGGCUGGGAGGUGGGGAUCAGCUUGCUGGAGAAUGCGGAAGUUGACAGGAAGUGGCUUUGUGUGGCCCUGAGGUCACUGACCCUGGGGCCAGGGCUGCUUCAUUGUGCAUGCCUGCUUGCAGGCUUUUCCUUUCCUAAGCCCUGGCUCCAGCCACCCUCCAAGGUUCACAAAGGGGCACUGACCCCGUGGCUGGGAGGUGCCCCCACCCCACCCCCAGCUCAUCUGACAAAAUACCACUUUUCACUUUUCUAUGUUCUGAAAGGAACU
This 834-nucleotide long non-coding RNA is filed under the name Nannospalax galili (Upper Galilee mountains blind mole rat). Its description in RNAcentral is "lncRNA (ENSNGAG00000024467.1)". Lineage: Eukaryota; Metazoa; Chordata; Mammalia; Rodentia; Spalacidae. The record is from RNAcentral.